CCACUUGCUUAACAGUGAUACUGCCAUUUGCUUCUCCGUUUAUUUCUUUUCCUUCUUUCUUUUUCUUCUCCCCUGUUUCAGACUAAAGACUUCCCACGAGAAAACCGAAAACCCCAAAACCCCAAGCUCCUAUCGUUCUCUCUGUCCCUCUCUAUUCUUUUCUUUCUCUCUUUCUUUCCUUCUCUCUCACUCAGAUUAGAUGAAAUAGACGAAUCCAGCUCUAAAAAUAACUCAAUCUCGCUCUGAUUUCGCAGAUUGGUUGGCUGGCACUAAGAAAAUUUGUUGGUGAUGGGGAUCAAUUGCAAAAGGCUGUGGAAGUUCUAUCUGAUAUGAAGGGACUAGGAUUGUCUCCCAAUAGCAUCAUGUAUUCCAUGUCUGCUGUGAUGUAUUUUAGGAACAAGACAAAAGCUUUGCUGUUGAUUUCAAUUCUCAAAUGCAGUUGCUUUUGUUAGAAAUCAACUUCAACAGCAUGGAGAUGUUCAGCUAGCUUGUGAUUUGUGAAGCACUGGCUCAAGCAGUUCUGGAUCAACGAUCAGAAGAUAAUGUCAGCAUUGUCAUUUAGGGUAUGCACCUAUUCGUUCAUAUAUAACUUUUAUAUUUUAUUGGUGAAGCCAAUUUGAGUUGGCUGAAUAAAUCUAAUUCAUCCUCUGACCAAAAAUUAGAGAAUGACAAUGGAUCUCAAGAUUCAUAAUUAUAUGUUCUUUUCCAACUAGAGGUUUAAUUGUUUACAAGCUAAAGUUCAAAACAUGGUUCAAAAUUUUUGUUGGCACUUAUUAUUCUUGAAAUAUUGUGUGUAUAGUUAUUCACUUUGUUUGAUUAUUUAGAAAUGAAAUUUUACCAUCUUUUGACUAUUUUUGUUAAUAUUUCUCAUUUUGCCUUGGUUCUAACUUCUUGCCUUGUUCCUUUUUUCUGUGCUAACCAGUGAAUCGAAUUUUUGUCUUCCAUUUGUAUGUUGAGCUUAACCAUUUAAUUAAAUUUAUAGCUUAUUUUGUAAUUUUGAACAGAAGAGGUACAAUGUUUUA
Long non-coding RNA from Quercus lobata, 1022 nucleotides. RefSeq lists it as uncharacterized. The record is from RefSeq and is a predicted model, not a curated record. Lineage: Eukaryota; Viridiplantae; Streptophyta; Magnoliopsida; Fagales; Fagaceae. The transcript has 5 exons.